GCGAGACCUUCGGGUCUAGCGGCGAACGGGUGAGUAACACGUGGGCAACCUGCCCCUGACUUCGGGAUAACUCCGGGAAACCGGGGCUAAUACCGGAUACGACCCUCCGAGGCAUCUCGGUGGGUGGAAAGAUUUAUCGGUCAGGGAUGGGCCCGCGGCCUAUCAGCUUGUUGGUGGGGUCAAGGCCCACCAAGGCGACGACGGGUAGCCGGCCUGAGAGGGCGACCGGCCACACUGGGACUGAGACACGGCCCAGACUCCUACGGGAGGCAGCAGUGGGGAAUAUUGCGCAGUGGGCGAAAGCCUGACGCAGCGACGCCGCGUGAGGGAUGACGGCCUUCGGG
This 344-nucleotide ribosomal RNA is filed under the name uncultured bacterium. RNAcentral describes it as "bacterial SSU rRNA". It matches the Rfam family "Bacterial small subunit ribosomal RNA", at positions 66 to 422 of the family's 1533-position model. The record is from RNAcentral.